CCUACGGGUGGCUGCAGUGGGGAAUAUUGGACAAUGGGCGAAAGCCUGAUCCAGCCAUGCCGCGUGUGUGAAGAAGGCCUUCGGGUUGUAAAGCACUUUCAGUGGGGAAGAAAGCCUUGGGGCUAAUACCCUCGAGGAAGGACAUCACCCACAGAAGAAGCACCGGCUAACUCCGUGCCAGCAGCCGCGGUAAUACGGAGGGUGCGAGCGUUAAUCGGAAUUACUGGGCGUAAAGCGCGCGUAGGCGGUCUGAUAAGCCGGUUGUGAAAGCCCCGGGCUCAACCUGGGAACGGCAUCCGGAACUGUCAGGCUAGAGUGAAGGAGAGGAAGAUAGAAUUCCCGGUGUAGCGGGGAAAUGCGUAGAGAUCGGGAGGAAUACCAGUGGCGAAGGCGGCCUUCUGGACUGACACUGACGCUGAGGUGCGAAAGCGUGGGUAGCAAACAGGAUUAGAUACCCGAGUAGUC
This 465-nucleotide ribosomal RNA is filed under the name Vreelandella stevensii. RNAcentral's name for it is "partial 16S ribosomal RNA". It matches the Rfam family "Bacterial small subunit ribosomal RNA", at positions 338 to 795 of the family's 1533-position model. Lineage: Bacteria; Pseudomonadati; Pseudomonadota; Gammaproteobacteria; Oceanospirillales; Halomonadaceae. The record is from RNAcentral.